This 486-nucleotide ribosomal RNA is filed under the name uncultured bacterium. Its description in RNAcentral is "bacterial SSU rRNA". It matches the Rfam family "Bacterial small subunit ribosomal RNA", at positions 791 to 1276 of the family's 1533-position model. The record is from RNAcentral.
UAGUCCACGCCGUAAACGAUGAUAACUGGUUGUGCGCGAUACACAGUGCGCGACUGAGGGAAACCAUUAAGUUAUCCACCUGGGGAGUACGUUCGCAAGAAUGAAACUCAAAGGAAUUGACGGGGGCCCGCACAAGCGGUGGAGCAUGUGGUUUAAUUCGAUGAUACGCGAGGAACCUUACCAGGGCUUAAAUGUAAGUUGCAUUAGUUAGAGAUAGCUAUUUCUUCGGACUACUUACAAGGUGCUGCAUGGUUGUCGUCAGCUCGUGCCGUGAGGUGUCAGGUUAAGUCCUAUAACGAGCGCAACCCCUAUCGUUAGUUGCUAACAGGUUAAGCUGAGGACUCUAGCGAGACUGCCGGUGCAAACCGAGAGGAAGGUGGGGAUGACGUCAAAUCAUCACGGGCCCUUACGUCCUGGGGCUACACACGUGCUACAAUGGGUCGGUACAGAGGGGCAGGCCACUACGCGAGUAGGGAGCGAAUCCUU